GAACUUUUAAUAAAAAAAUUGUAAUUCGUUUGAUUAAUUGUGUGUAUAUACUUCUUUGAUAUGAAACUUAUUUUCUGUCGGUUUAUUUUCUGUCAAUUUAAACUAAACAUAAUCUUGCAUAUAUAUACUUUAAGAAUAAAAUAAUCAAAGAAUAAGAAUCUAAUGUGAAAGUCUUAUUAAGUUUAAAUGAAUGAAACUUUUGUUUAUGAAAAAUAUAUAAAAUAAUUCAUUAACUUAAUAGUUUCAUAUUAAAAAAAUUAAAUAUUAGAGUCAAUAAAUUGACAUCAAAGAAGUUUUAUAAUGAUCAUUUUUUUAUCAAAUAAGUAUAUAUCACACAGUUAAUCAAACGAAUUACAGAAAUUUUAUUAAAAGUUCAUACCAAAACAGAUUUAAAGAAUUAAAAAACUAAAUUAAAUAAUAUCUUAUAUAAUUUUCAUAAUUAAUAAAAAUAAAAAUAAUAUAAUUAUAUUGUUUUCAAAUACACUAAAUAAAAAUGUUAAAACACUACUUACCAAAUUUUAUAGAACAUAUUGAUUUUGUAAAUUAGAUUUUGUUAAAAAAUAUAUUUACGCUUUUAAAACGGUUCAAAAUCUAAUUUAGGUAAAUUACUGUCAGGUACGUAACAUUUCAAUUGAUGAAACGAGAGAUUUAAACGGUCUCCGACAUACACAUCAUUUUUUGGAUGAAUGAAAUUAAACUCUGUGUUGUUAACUACAUAACAUCAUAACGUUGAGAUAUGUUGUCAUGCAUAAUAUAUACUUCAUGUAGAUAAGUAUACAUUUAUUUAGUUUGCAUGGUUAGCCAUGUGAUGGCCACUACUUCAUGUAGUCAGCAGUCACUUUUCCUUAACUGAACACCAUCACUAUCUCGACAAUACGACUGAUUUUUAUCAUCCCAUAGAACCAACAUCGUACCGAAGGUGAUUUCUCUGAAAGAAGUAGUAAAAACACUGAAGUCGAAAAAAGGUCCAAGAAGAUCUAAAACGCGCCCGAAGCCCAUUUACGAUUUUAAACGAGAAUGAGUCCAAACUACAGCGACGGUCUAUAUAAUAAAAAGAUAAAUAUAAAGUUUCUACGAUAAGCAUGUAGAUCGAGAGGUUAAGAAAAACUUCCGCAAAGAGAUAAAUUCAAAUCAAGGACAGAAAAGGCAAGGGUGCACCGACCUUGGAGACAUAUAUAAGGAGAGCUAUGGCAAGGAGUGUGGGGGCCGAAAAAAUUAGACCUUAGGAAAUUUUUGUUAGUUCUAGGAGAACUUAGGAUUUAGGUGGUUAAACUAGCAAGUUUCAUAAUUAGAAUGUUUUACUGCUUGCUCUUUUGUUCUCCAUUGAUAACGGAUCUCCGAUCAUCUUGUUUUUCGGUGAAACUCUGUAAACUCUAUUCAUCUUAAUUUAUAAAACGCCUAUGAGAAACUUUUACGAUAAUUUGUUAUCUCUAUUUUUUUCGUAUUUGUGUGUUUACGCAGAGAAUCCAGGUCUUCAUGGAAACUCAAGAAACUUGUCUUUCCUCCAUUAACUAAAAUCGACCGUGCAGAUUUUGUUUUCUACAACUAUUUUACAUAUACAUAACUAAACAUUUUUUAUGUGAAAACUUCAUAUUUGUUUUUACAAUAAAUGAAUGUUGAGAGAGAAAAUCUUCAUAUCUAUACUAUAUUAAAAGGGAUAUAUGAGCUCCAUUGAGCCUAUCCACCUCAGCAUAAAAAAUCAUCCAAUUAAAACAUAAGUAAUUGACACAUCAGAUGACACAUCCUAUUUUCUUCAAUCGACGACCUUUCUUCCAAAAAGUUAUUGUUUCCCUUUUGUAUUCCCUUCUGAACCCUUCUUCCAACUUCAAUUAUAUCCCAGCUCCAAUCAAUCGAUUCCUCGCCUGCCUCAUCUUCAUCCUCCAAUGGCAUGGGUUGAUUGCUCGAACCUAGCUCGAAGCUCUUCCCCUUCUUUUCCUUACUACCGUGAUUGGAACUUCGGUGUUGAUUCCAAUCAAAAGCCUAAGAUAUGUAUCACGACUAGCACAUCAGCUGGAUUGGAUCAGAUUCUACAGUGGAUGUUCUACCAUAAGGUUCUUGGCGUAUCCACGUUUUUUCUUUUUGUAUAAGAGAAAGCUGCUACGCCCACCAUUUCUAAAGUUCUCGAGUUUAUUCCUGUGAGUUCUAGCUUCUUAGACUCUUAGUCCUCUAGGUGUACGUUGACUAAGAUAAUUAUAUGCCCGGAUUUUUAAAAUUAAGAUUACUCCAUUAUCACUGAAUAAAGCUAAAACGAGUGAAAAACUAUGCAUCUAAAGGUAAAAAUAAAUUAAUGACAAUCCUAAUUUUUCUUGGUUCUCUUAAACUGAAACGCUUCAUCUAUUCCUUUUCCUCCUGCGAAAGUUUUUGUUUUUUGGUAUCAUACAUUUUAACUUACAAAAUUGCUUCCUUUUUGUCUUUUAGUAGGCUUAGAAGAAGCACAAAAAUGAUGGUGUAAAACCGAAGAGACCAUAAAAAAAAGGAGGAGGAAGAUAGAAAAAAGACAUGGAGAAGUCAAAGAAAGGAUAAAAGUCUAUAGUGCAUGGAGUUAAGUUAGAUGAUGUUGCUCGGUUACUGAAUCGUGCUCGCAACUACUCAGCUGUGUGCUUACAUGGCUUAUAUCAGCCGAGAAUAUAAGAAAAGGUAAUACGUUUUAUUUCUUCUUUGAAGUGCAUGUCUCUCUAUCUUUAUUAGUUAAGUAGAUACUCAUAAGCAAGAAAAACGUAUAUUGAGUUUUCUGGUCCUUCCCGAAAAGUAUGGAGAAUGAGAUGUUAGGUGAAGCUUUUAAGAAGCUUCAGAACCCAUAUGAGAUAGUGAUUGUGGUUCAUCAUUUGUAUCGGCGCAUCAAGUUCAUCCAUCUCUGAUCUCCCUAGCUGUUUCUAUUGGGGGUAAGUCUUGAUAUUUGUUUGUUUUUUUCCAUUCACAAGAGAAUAGUUGAGUUUGCGAAGUGAUCCUUUUGAUGAUUGCACUCAGAAGGACUUAAACAAGCCACUGAUUAUUGCAGCCAAAACCAACAUGGAGGUGUUGUUAGAGGUGGUUGAGGAAGAGGCCAAGCUGGUGGUGGCAAAGCCGCAAAGACAAUAAAGAUAACAAAAACUGAAGGUUUUCUACAUUUGUGGAUCAUCGGGUGAACACGCUCCUGUCUCUAGGAGCAUCCGGAGCUAAAUCCUUUGUUGCUCAGAUUUGUGCAAUGAUCUUUUUUGUAAUUCAGUGGCUACAUGAGAGUUGUUUCUGAUUGACUCAGAGUUUAGAGUCUACAACGAGUGUACGGUAGGAGACGGUAAUGAUGAUAGCGGUGAAUGACUGACUCAUCACACGAUCGGGAAGAAGUAUAAGCUGAAGGCGAACGGUGAAGACGGACCAGUUAUUUUCUUAUGCAAGGAAGACAGGAAUGAUUCCAUCUCCAUCAGUAACUUAACUCUCUUCACACUCAAGAUGGUGUGGUUACAGUUCUCUGUUCUCUCGACUCUUGAGUUGUUAGUUGUUUAUCUAAUGGUAAGAUAUUUUCUCUGUAUGUAAACUUGAUCGUCCACGAAUUAACCCUCAUGUAUUUUGGUUUCUAUUUGUCAGAACAGAGUAUGUCGAUGAUUUUAGCCCAUAAAAGUUGUCAGUAAAUUGACUUGA
Molecule: long non-coding RNA, 3618 nt
Organism: Brassica napus (rape)
Lineage: Eukaryota; Viridiplantae; Streptophyta; Magnoliopsida; Brassicales; Brassicaceae
Exons: 4
Source: RefSeq, a predicted model, not a curated record